RNAcentral lists this ribosomal RNA (364 nucleotides) under uncultured bacterium. Its description in RNAcentral is "bacterial SSU rRNA". It matches the Rfam family "Bacterial small subunit ribosomal RNA", at positions 30 to 398 of the family's 1533-position model. The record is from RNAcentral.
AUUGAACGCUGGCGGCAUGCUUUACACAUGCAAGUCGAACGGCAGCACAAACUUCGGUUUGGUGGCGAGUGGCGAACGGGUGAGUAAUGCAUCGGAACGUGUCCUGAAGUGGGGGAUAACGCAUCGAAAGAUGCGCUAAUACCGCAUAAUCUCUGAGGAGAAAAGUGGGGGAUCGAAAGACCUCAUGCUUUUGGAGCGGCCGAUGUCUGAUUAGCUAGUUGGUGGGGUAAUGGCCUACCAAGGCGACGAUCAGUAGUUGGUCUGAGAGGAUGGCCAGCCACACUGGGACUGAGACACGGCCCAGACUCACGGGAGCAGCAGUGGGAAUUUUGGACAAUGGGCGCAAGCCUGAUCCAGCAAUGCC